AUACGGAGGAUCCAAGCGUUAUCCGGAAUCAUUGGGUUUAAAGGGUCCGUAGGCGGUUUAGUAAGUCAGUGGUGAAAGCCCAUCGCUCAACGGUGGAACGGCCAUUGAUACUGCUAAACUUGAAUUAUUAGGAAGUAACUAGAAUAUGUAGUGUAGCGGUGAAAUGCUUAGAGAUUACAUGGAAUACCAAUUGCGAAGGCAGGUUACUACUAAUGGAUUGACGCUGAUGGACGAAAGCGUGGGUAGCGAACAGGAUUAGAUACCCUGGUAGUCCACGCCGUAAACGAUGGAUACUAGCUGUUGGGAGCAAUCUCAGUGGCUAAGCGAAAGUGAUAAGUAUCCCACCUGGGGAGUACGUUCGCAAGAAUGAA
This 371-nucleotide ribosomal RNA is filed under the name uncultured bacterium. RNAcentral's name for it is "bacterial SSU rRNA". It matches the Rfam family "Bacterial small subunit ribosomal RNA", at positions 523 to 898 of the family's 1533-position model. The record is from RNAcentral.